This 497-nucleotide ribosomal RNA is filed under the name uncultured bacterium. Its description in RNAcentral is "partial 16S ribosomal RNA". It matches the Rfam family "Bacterial small subunit ribosomal RNA", at positions 28 to 507 of the family's 1533-position model. The record is from RNAcentral.
GAUGAACGCUGGCGGCGUGCCUAAUACAUGCAAGUCGAGCGAACAGACGAGGAGCUUGCUCCUCUGACGUUAGCGGCGGACGGUUUAGUAACACGUGGAUAACCUCCCUUUAAGACUGGGAUAACUUCGGGAAACCGGAGCUAAUACCGGAUUAUAUAUUGAACCGCAUGGUUCAAUAUUGAAAGACUGUUUUGCUGUCACUUAUAGAUCGAUCCGCGCCGCAUUAGCUAGUUGGUAAGGUAACGGCUUACCAAGGCAACGAUGCGUAGCCGACCUGAGAGGGUGAUCGGCCAAACGGGAACUGAGACACGGUACAGACACCUGAGGGAGGCAGCAGUAGGGAAUCUUACGCAAUGGGCGAAAGCCUGACGGAGCAAAGCCGCGUGAGUGAUGAAGGACUUCGGAUCGUAAAACUCUGUUAUUAGGGAAGAACAAAUGUGUAAGUAACUAUGCACGUCUUGACGGUACCUAAUCAGAAAGCCACGGCUAACUACGUG